Molecule: ribosomal RNA, 216 nt
Filed under: Glomeromycotina sp.
Lineage: Eukaryota; Fungi; Glomeromycota
Description: partial small subunit ribosomal RNA
Rfam family: Eukaryotic small subunit ribosomal RNA (bases 40-216)
Source: RNAcentral
GGGUCAGUAGGUUGGUCGUGCCACCGGUACGUACUGGUCUCACUGAUUCCUCCUUCCUGAAGAACCUUAAUGCCAUUAAUUUGGUGUUGCGGGGAAACAGGACUGUUACUUUGAAAAAAUUAGAGUGUUUAAAGCAAGCUAACGCUUGAAUACAUUAGCAUGGAAUAAUGAAAUAGGACGAUCGAUCCUAUUUUGUUGGUUUCUAGGAUUGACGUA